Molecule: transfer RNA, 90 nt
Filed under: Variovorax paradoxus
Lineage: Bacteria; Pseudomonadati; Pseudomonadota; Betaproteobacteria; Burkholderiales; Comamonadaceae
Description: tRNA-Ser
Source: RNAcentral
GGAUGCGUGCCCGGGUGGUCUAAAGGCGCUGUUUCGAAAACAGAUGGUCGGCUCCGCCGGCAAGAGCGUCGACUCGCUCCGCAUCCUCCA